GACGUAGGGCGCGAGCGUUGUCCGGAUUGAUUGGGCGUAAAGAGCUCGUAGGCGGCUCGUUGCGUCGGCUGUGAAAACCCGCAGCUCAACUGUGGGCCUGCAGCUGAUACGGGCGGGCUGGAGUUCGGUAGGGGAGACUGGAAUUCCUGGUGUAGCGGUGAAAUGCGCAGAUAUCAGGAGGAACACCGAUGGCGAAGGCAGGUCUCUGGGCCACUACUGACGCUGAGAAGCGAAAGCGUGGGGAGCGAACAGG
RNAcentral lists this ribosomal RNA (253 nucleotides) under uncultured bacterium. RNAcentral describes it as "partial 16S ribosomal RNA". It matches the Rfam family "Bacterial small subunit ribosomal RNA", at positions 524 to 776 of the family's 1533-position model. The record is from RNAcentral.